RNAcentral lists this transfer RNA (93 nucleotides) under Gomphillus americanus. It matches the Rfam family "tRNA". Rfam says of the family: Transfer RNA (tRNA) molecules are approximately 80 nucleotides in length. The record is from Rfam by way of RNAcentral. Lineage: Eukaryota; Fungi; Ascomycota; Lecanoromycetes; Ostropales; Graphidaceae.
GGUCGUAUAGCGCAGUUGGUUAACGCGUCGUACUAAUAUAGUCGAAAGAAUAUUGGCAUGCGAAGAUCCUGAGUUCGAGCCUCAGUAUGACCA